Molecule: ribosomal RNA, 972 nt
Filed under: Triticum aestivum (bread wheat)
Lineage: Eukaryota; Viridiplantae; Streptophyta; Magnoliopsida; Poales; Poaceae
Description: partial small subunit ribosomal RNA
Source: RNAcentral
AUGUCUCGGUCGCCACAUCUUCCUCCCCGCUGCCCGCCUCUGGGUCCUCAAAUCACAGGAAGAGAUGACAGCUUGUUCACACAGAGCUGCAGGUUUCCAUCAGAGGAUCCUUUCUUUGGUGAACCACCGUGUUGGCUAGAUGAUCUCCUUGCAGAUUCUGGGAAAAUGCCAAACCUUCCACUUCUUAGGAGAGCUUGUAGCGACUCUGAUGCUAUCUUGGAUGCGCUGAGGACAAUUCAGAGCCCAAUUUUUCCGAUUGAGGAGGCGGAUCUGCAACCAGCAGGUGAGACCGGGGACUCGUUGGAUGCUGCUGUAAGGGGUGAAAGUGAUUUGGGGGUUGAAGUUAGCUGUGUGUAUGGUCCAAAUUCACCAAGACAGAAGUGUAGGCUGACCAGUUCAGAGAGUUCCAUUGUAAAUGCUGUCCUGGAGAAUGUCCCUAGCAACCCCUUGCAGUACCUGACCAUUGACCCGUCAACCAGUCUGCAUGGCAAUGUGGCCAAUGCAAAAGGAGAUGCAUGCGAUGAUGUAAACCAUCUAGAUCAAGACAAGUCAUUUAAAAGGCGAUCAGGCCAAAGAUCUAGGGUCCGGAAACUUCAAUACAUUGCUGAUCUUGAAAGAACUGUUGACUCUCUUCAGAUCAUGGGAGCUGAUUUGGCUGUAAGAGUAGCAUCUCAUUUCCAGCUUCGCAAUGCUCUAUCAAUAGAAAACAAGCAACUGAGGAGACAGAUUGCUAGUCUUCAGCAGGCAAAACUAAUGAAGGAUGGUCAAACACAUUUCUUGAAGAAGGAAACUGAGAGGUUGAAGCAGAUCUCUGUGCGUCACCGCAGGAGCAGGAGUGUCACUUCUUGCUUUGAGCCGGGCUCAAUUGGAGCAGACCCAUCAGCAAUCAAUUGGCAGACAGUUGACAUGUCAAAGCUGAGCUUAAACGGCAGUCCUGCUCCUGUGCCCCCGAGAGGUGGCUAUGGCCUGUAA